GAUGAACGCUAGCUACAGGCUUAACACAUGCAAGUCGAGGGGAAACGAUAUUGGAAGCUUGCUUCCGAUAGGCGUCGACCGGCGCACGGGUGAGUAACGCGUAUCCAACCUGCCCACCACUUGGGGAUAACCUUGCGAAAGUAAGACUAAUACCCAAUGAUACCUCUAGAAGACAUCUGAAGGAGAUUAAAGAUUUAUCGGUGAUGGAUGGGGAUGCGUCUGAUUAGCUUGUUGGCGGGGUAACGGCCCACCAAGGCGACGAUCAGUAGGGGUUCUGAGAGGAAGGUCCCCCACAUUGGAACUGAGAUACGGUCCAAACUCCUACGGGAGGCAGCAGUGAGGAAUAUUGGUCAAUGGGCGAGAGCCUGAACCAGCCAAGUAGCGUGCAGGAUGACGGCCCUAUGGGUUGUAAACUGCUUUUAUAAGGGAAUAAAGUGAGCCUCGUGAGGCUUUUUGCAUGUACCUUAUGAAUAAGGACCGGCUAAUUCCGUGCCAGCCGCCGCGGUAA
Molecule: ribosomal RNA, 508 nt
Filed under: uncultured bacterium
Lineage: Bacteria
Description: partial 16S ribosomal RNA
Rfam family: Bacterial small subunit ribosomal RNA
Source: RNAcentral